This 467-nucleotide ribosomal RNA is filed under the name uncultured bacterium. RNAcentral's name for it is "partial 16S ribosomal RNA". It matches the Rfam family "Bacterial small subunit ribosomal RNA", at positions 28 to 507 of the family's 1533-position model. The record is from RNAcentral.
GACGAACGCUGGCGGCGUGCUUAACACAUGCAAGUCGAACGGAAAGGCCUCUUUCGGGGGGUACUCGAGUGGCGAACGGGUGAGUAACACGUGAGUAACCUGCCCUUGACUUUGGGAUAACUUCAGGAAACUGGGGCUAAUACCGGAUAGGAGCUCCUGCUGCAUGGUGGGGGUUGGAAAGUUUCGGCGGUUGGGGAUGGACUCGCGGCUUAUCAGCUUGUUGGUGGGGUAGUGGCUUACCAAGGCUUUGACGGGUAGCCGGCCUGAGAGGGUGACCGGCCACAUUGGGACUGAGAUACGGCCCAGACUCCUACGGGAGGCAGCAGGGGGGAAUAUUGCACAAUGGGUGGAAGCCGGAUGCAGCAACGCCGUGGGCGGGAGGACGGCCUUCGGGUUGGAAACCGCUUUCGCUCAUGACGAAGCUUUGUGUGACGGUAGUGGGUAAAGAAGCACCGGCUAACUACGUG